CAAAGUCUUUUUCUAGUGACCUUACUGAUUAUUUCGUUGCAGCUUUCUUUUAUGUCACUUGGAUAAUGAUAAUAUAUAUUUAGUCCUUCUAAAAUUAUCGAAAUUUCCUUUUAGUCUUGAUUAUUUUUUGUUCUAUUCCAGUCGCCAAAUUUAAAAAUUUAUCACUUUUAGUUCUCCAAGUACUUAGGUAGCGCUGGUCACUUGGAUAAUGAUAACAUAUAUUUAUUCCCUCUAAAAUUAUCGAAAUUUCCUUUUAGUCUGGAUUCUUUUUUGUUCUAUUCCAGUCACCAAAUUUAAAAAUUCAUCAAUUUUAGUCCUCCAAGUACUUAGGUAGCGCUUAAAAAUUGUUUUAAGAUGCUAUUUAAACUACUUUUAAGAUAUAAAAAACUGCAUUUCCAAAUUUGUGGUACUAAAAUAGGACAAAAUUUUAGACUAGAAAUGUUUUUGAAGGAAUAGGAACAAAAACAUAUUUUACCCUUUUUUUUUUUGAUAAUAAAUGUGUUCUAUUAGAUUGGUUUAAUUUUUCCUGAUGUUUGGUUUCAUGGAAAUGCUCUAUUUAUAGUUUUAACAUUAAUAUUUGUUAAACUUGUGUAUUUUUUUUAAUUCUGAUUCUUUUCUCGGCAGAUUCUUCAUUGCUUAUCUAUUCAGGGCCUUAGCUCAUCAGGUGUUGGGAGUGGUACUGGUGGCGUCAAUGGUGGAACUGGAAGCAGUAGUGGUGCUUCAUUAAGGACAGAUUGAAACUCUUCUUAAAGGCAAAGCUUGCUUUGGAAUAAAAGAGGCUGCAACUAGUUUGACAAAACAUCUUGCACAAAGAGCCCAGGAGACCUUUGAAGAAUUUGAAGUGACAAUCGAGAAAGAUUCUACAAAGACUGCAGUUACAGAUGGAACUGUCCAUCCUUUGACACACUCUGAUUAACUAUGUGAUGUAUUUUUUUUUGACUAUCAAUCCACCUUGAAGCAACGUUUUCUGGAAUUUGAAAGUGGUGAUGAUUCUUCACAGCUAGCAUAUGUAACUGUGUGAAUAAUGCAUGCUUUGCAAACCAAUUUAGAUGGAAAAUCAGAGCAGUAUAAAGACCCUGCAUUAACACAUGUUUUUCUCAUGAACAAUAUUUAUUAUAUUGUAAGAUGGGGUUUGAGGUCUGAGGCCAAGGAUUUGCCUGGGGAUGACUGAAGCCAAGGUCUGAAGCCAACGACAUAGGAGGAUUGUUCAGUAGCAUGCAAAUCAAUAAAAAAGAAAAGGUCUUGUUCUAGUGACCUUGCUGACCAUUACAUGUCUUGCAGCUUUCUUAGAUGUCAGUUGGAUAAUAAUAAAACAUGUUUAGCCCCUUUAAAAUUAUCAAAAUAUAUUUUGGUUAUGAAUUUCUUUAAAUCACAAUUUUUUUUACAUGUUUUGGUGUUUGAAAGCCUUUUUCCUCUUCACCCUUUUCUGUUCUUGGUCUGAGGCCAAGGAUUUGCUAGGGGAUAACUGAAGCCAAGGUCUGAAGCCAACGACAUAGGAGAGUUGUUCAGCAGCAUGCAAAUCAAUAAAAUAGAAAUGCUUGGGCAAAGGUCUUGUUCUAGUGCAUGUCUUACAGCUUUCUUAGAUGUCACUUGGAUAAUGAUUCAUCAGUGCUUAUCUAUUCAGGGCCUUUGCCCAUCAGGUGGCAGGAGUGAUACUGGUGGCGGCGAUGGUGGAACUGGAAGCAUUAGUGGUGCUUCAUUAAGGACAGGUUUAAGAAAUUUAAUGUUAUGUUUGAGGAACUCCAUUAGAGAUAAUCUUAGUGGACAGCUUCUGACAUCCAUCUGCUAGUGUCUCUCAGGCCUGCAGUUGCUGAAGUCUUGUUGGUAGCCUAUAGAUCGUUUGUCAAUCGUUUUGGGCCUCUUGUGGAGACUGGUAAGAAUCCUCAGAAAUACAUCAAAUACACAACAGAAGAUCUAGACCAUAUGUUGGUUAAAUUUUUUGAAGGAAAAAAGAUGAGUGAAACAAAGCGGUAAAAUAAUUGCUGAUAACUUAAGAUAGUUCUAUUUUAAAUUUAGCGUGAUUGUAUUUGGCGGUUAUUGGUUAAUGCCUUUAUUUUGCAUUGGUUUCUUUUCUCAAUCUCACUUGUUCUAAUUCACCAGGUUGUAUUUGGUAGCUGAAAAGGAGUUAUAGUUUGUUUUUUGUGUGAUAAGAUGGUGAAUGAUUUUGUAUAGUUUGCUUGAUUUGCUGCUUGAGUUGUUAGGGUGUGUUUGGAAACUCGUUUAUAGAAGUUUUGCAUUUUUCAAUGUAUAAAGGUUGAAGCUAUGCCAGUGUUGGAUUGAUGUUGAAUGUAGGUUAAAGUCAAUGGAAUUGAUAUAGUAUUGAAGGGAAAUGUAUUUCUGCCACGGGUACUAGUUUGUGAUUUUAGCAGUCUUGAGGGCAACUGCAUGUAACAAGGAAUUGGUGUAAUAUUCUGGCAUCAAAUUUCAUUUAGGAUUUUUUAAUUUAUAUUUCUGGAAGCCACAGCCAUAUAAGAGUGUAAACUCGUCAAAUUGUCUUGGAAUAGGAAUACUUGUGCCAAAAUGAUUGGUUGACGAAACUAGCCAAAGUUUUGCCUGGUCUUAAUGUUUAUCAAUCUAUAUUUAUAUCUAUAAUACUAUUAAUAAAAGGAAUUUCUUAAUUUAUAUUCUCUUUUAUCUUUUUCACUAAUAAUAGUUAAUAAGCAUUAAUAAAUUGUAUCUGAGCAUUUAUAAGCAUUUAUUUAUAAAUUGAAUUAUUAUUUUUAUUUUGGGUAUAAUAUCAUAUUUUUCACUGCAUGUGCAAUAUUAAUGAAAGACAGUUUUCCUUUGGAUGUUUAAUAUAGCAUACUCAUUACUGGUUGAAAAGGUAGUUGAUAUUUCUUUUUUUAAUUCUUACAAAUGUGAACUGUGGUUUGUGAUUGUGUCUGAUGAGAGGUAUUUAUUUAUUUUUAAUUGCUAAAGAACAAGGAAGUAAUGUCAUAUUGUCAUGAUAUGUUAUGGAUAGCUCUUUUAACUCUCUUCGUGUUCUUGCAUGUUGUGUUUUAAGUGUCGGGACUUGGGUUGGGGUGGGGUGUGGUCUUGCAUGUUGUUAAGUAGCUCAAAAUUGUUUUCUGUCAUGUGGGUGGACUUGAUUGAUCAAGCGAGUAAUUUGAUUUUAAACUUUUAAGAUUAUUUCUCUACUUUGUAUGGAGUAUGGACUUGUUGGAUUGACAAAGUGGGUAAUUUUUUCAAGAUUUUUUCAUUAGAUUGAAUGUUGAGUUGUUUAAUUGGUGAAAUAGCUAGUUAGAAUUUCAAGAUUCUUUCAUUCUUUGCAUGUGGACCUGCAGAUUUUGAGUGAGAAUGUUGUGAUGUAUUUACUGUAUUUUAAUGGAAUCAGAAUUCCUAAAUAAAAGUUCUGUUAUAUAUGUCUACAUUUAGGCAACAAAUUAUAAUUUGUAGAGACUUUAGUGGUUUAUUUAUUUAUUUAUUUUUUAUUAUUCUCUGCUCUUGAAAUAAAUCUAGUUUUGUUUUUAAUUGAUUUUCUGUACAUGUUAUAAGAUCAGAUUAUAGUUCUGAGAUCUAAAUUCUGAUUGGAUAUAAAUUGAGUUUGUUCUGUUCAAGAGUUGGAAUAAUAUCCCAUCGAUUGUUACAAACUACAUUUUGUACCUGGGGAUUGCAUGUUUAUGUAUAUUUAGUUCUUAUGCUAUUAAUCACAUUUACAAAUCUCCAAUCUUGCAGAUAUCAGCCUUGAGGUGUCCAGUUAGGUUGAGGUUUGUGUGUUAACAUCCCACAUGGGUUAGGCAUAUAAUGAAGGUAAAAUGGUCUUUGUGAAAAGUUAGAAGAUAAAAUGAAGGUACAUUGU
Non-coding RNA from Cajanus cajan (pigeon pea), 3799 nucleotides. The record is from RefSeq and is a predicted model, not a curated record. Lineage: Eukaryota; Viridiplantae; Streptophyta; Magnoliopsida; Fabales; Fabaceae.